CAUUAUUGUAAGGGGCUUCGGCCCCAAAGUAUAUUACCCUUGUCUAUGAGUACUACUGUUUCCUCGGCAGGCUUGCCUGCCAAUGGGGACCCUAUUAAACCUUUUUAUAUUGCUGUAACUGUACCUAAACAAAUAAUCAAAACUUUCAACAACGGAUCUCUUGGUUCUGGCAUCGAUGAAGAACGCAGCGAAAUGCGAUAAGUAGUGUGAAUUGCAGAAUUCAGUGAAUCAUCGAAUCUUUGAACGCACAUUGCGCCCUGUGGUAUUCCGCAGGGCAUGCCUGUUCGAGCGUCAUUCAACCCCCUCAAGCUCUGCUUGGUGUUGGGCGUUUGUCCUGCCUCUCGGUAUGGACUCGCCUCAAAAAUAUUGGCAGCCACCUCCCCGGCUUCGAGUGCAGCACAUUUGCGCCCGGUACUUGGGGGGUUGUGGUUCCCCAGAAGCACUUUUUUUCGGUUGACCUCGGAUCAGGUAGGGAUACCCGCUGAACUUAAGCAUAUCAAUAAGCGGAGGAAAAGAAACCAACAGGGAUUGCCCUAGUAACGGCGAGUGAAGCGGCAACAGCUCAAAUUUGAAAUCUGGCUCCCUUGGGGGUCCGAGUUGUAAUUUGUAGAGGGUGCUUUGGUGUUAGCUGUGGUCUAAGUCCCUUGGAACAGGGCGUCACAGAGGGUGAGAAUCCCGUAUGUGGCCAGCAGCUUUCGCCUUGUAAAGCCCCUUCGACGAGUCGAGUUGUUUGGGAAUGCAGCUCUAAAUGGGAGGUAAAUUUCUUCUAAAGCUAAAUAUUGGGCCAGAGACCGAUAGCGCACAAGUAGAGUGAUCGAAAAGAUGAAAAAGCACUUUUGGAAAAGAGAGUCAAAAAAGCACGUGAAAAUUGUUGAAAGGGGAAAGCGCUUGCAGCCAGGACUUGCCCCGUAGUUGCUCAUCCAGGGC
This 927-nucleotide unclassified non-coding RNA is filed under the name Murispora fissilispora. RNAcentral describes it as "Murispora sp. VMD-2020c sequence contains ITS1, 5.8S rRNA gene, ITS2". The stretch from base 455 to 927 matches the Rfam family "Eukaryotic large subunit ribosomal RNA", at positions 1 to 461 of the family's 3401-position model. Lineage: Eukaryota; Fungi; Ascomycota; Dothideomycetes; Pleosporales; Amniculicolaceae. The record is from RNAcentral.